CAUCCAUCACCAUAACCUUGACCUUCAAAAUUAGAUGAGAAUGUCUUCAUUUUGAUUCUUGCUUACAUGUUUAAUCUGACAAUCUUAUCUUCAUUAUUUCUUUUUCCUACUCCUGUAACUCUUUUCAUUGGUUUACAUUAAUUAUUCCUACCUGCAUUCCUUUGUUCUCCAAAUACAUCUUUUUUUCUUUUCCCUAAUCUCUUCUCUUGAUUCAAAACAGUACUUUUCAAGACACUGCUCCUUUGACUAGCUCUCUUCUGAGGGUGUUUUCCAAUCACAUUCCAGGGCUGAGAAA
This 295-nucleotide long non-coding RNA is filed under the name Bos taurus (domestic cattle). Its description in RNAcentral is "long non-coding RNA NONBTAT024251". The record is from RNAcentral. Lineage: Eukaryota; Metazoa; Chordata; Mammalia; Artiodactyla; Bovidae.